This 497-nucleotide ribosomal RNA is filed under the name uncultured bacterium. RNAcentral's name for it is "partial 16S ribosomal RNA". It matches the Rfam family "Bacterial small subunit ribosomal RNA", at positions 28 to 507 of the family's 1533-position model. The record is from RNAcentral.
GAUGAACGCUGGCGGCGUGCCUAAUACAUGCAAGUCGAGCGAACGGACGAGAAGCUUGCUUCUCUGAUGUUAGCGGCGGACGGGUGAGUAACACGUGGAUAACCUACCUAUAAGACUGGGAUAACUUCGGGAAACCGUAGCUAAUACCGGAUAAUAUUUUGAACCGCAUGGUUCAAAAGUGAAAGACGGUCUUGCUGUCUCUUAUAGAUGGAUCCGCGCUGCAUUAGCUAGUUGGUAAGGUAACGGCUUACCAAGGCAACGAUGCAUAGCCGACCUGAGAGGGUGAUCGGCCACACUGGAACUGAGACACGGUCCAGACUCCUACGGGAGGCAGCAGUAGGGAAUCUUCCGCAAUGGGCGAAAGCCUGACGGAGCAACGCCGCGUGAGUGAUGAAGGUCUUCGGAUCGUAAAACUCUGUUAUUAGGGAAGAACAUAUGUGUAAGUAACUGUGCACAUCUUGACGGUACCUAAUCAGGAAGCCACGGCUAACUACGUG